UUCGGGUCUAGUGGCGCACGGGUGCGUAACGCGUGGGAAUCUGCCCUUGGGUUCGGAACAACAGUUGGAAACGACUGCUAAUACCGGAUGAUGACUUCGGUCCAAAGAUUUAUCGCCCAAGGAUGAGCCCGCGUAGGAUUAGCUUGUUGGUGAGGUAAAAGCUCACCAAGGCGACGAUCCUUAGCUGGUCUGAGAGGAUGAUCAGCCACACUGGGACUGAGACACGGCCCAGACUCCUACGGGAGGCAGCAGUGGGGAAUAUUGGACAAUGGGCGAAAGCCUGAUCCAGCAAUGCCGCGUGAGUGAUGAAGGCCUUAGGGUUGUAAAGCUCUUUUACCCGGGAUGAUAAUGACAGUACCGGGAGAAUAAGCCCCGGCUAACUCCGUGCCAGCAGCCGCGGUAAUACGGAGGGGGCUAGCGUUGUUCGGAAUUACUGGGCGUAAAGCGCACGUAGGCGGCUUUGUAAGUUAGAGGUGAAAGCCCGGAGCUCAACUCCGGAAUUGCCUUUAAGACUGCAUCGCUCGAAUCAUGGAGAGGUGAGUGGAAUUCCGAGUGUAGAGGUGAAAUUCGUAGAUAUUCGGAAGAACACCAGUGGCGAAGGCGACUCACUGGACAUGUAUUGACGCUGAGGUGC
RNAcentral lists this ribosomal RNA (634 nucleotides) under uncultured bacterium. RNAcentral describes it as "bacterial SSU rRNA". It matches the Rfam family "Bacterial small subunit ribosomal RNA", at positions 85 to 754 of the family's 1533-position model. The record is from RNAcentral.